CCUUGCUAACUCAGGAUUUGUGGAAGAUUUGGCUGUCAUGAAAGACAUCCUGCGUGAACUCCAGAGCCUGUCUCUCAAGCUGCAGAAAAGAGAAAUGUCACUCGUGGAUUCAAGUAUCGCCAUCCAACAAACCAUCAAUGUUUUGACGGCCAUGAAGAUGACUGGUGGGGGGAAAUCAACCAAGAAGGCUGAACAGUCCGUCUCAUCUGGCCUUUUUAACCCUUGUGUUAUCUUCGGGUCAUUCUGACCCAUCAGUCAUUGUGACCCACCGUCGUAUUGCGACAGAUUUACCUCAUACAAAGACAAAGUGAAGCAUUUUCUUUUAACCGUUGGGCUGUCUCAGACCCCCCACAUUGCAAAGGUUAAAAGAAAAUUAUUUUAAUUUGUUUUUGUAUUGGGUAAAAUUGGGUAAACACAACGAUGGUUCGUUAUGAACCUUUGGGUCAUGUGACCCGAAGGCAGCACGAGGGUUAAGAGCGUAGAGCUGAGUGAAGGCAGGGCGAAAAUAAACAGGUCUUGGUUUCAUGAAUCAGUGAUUGCGUCUCUAACUAAGCGAUUACCGGAGUCCAAUUUGGUCCUGAUGCUCAAAGCUCUUGACAAGCGGUUUUGGCCAGGAGAGCAGGAGGACCUGAUUUUGCAUGGCGAACCAGAAGUACACAGCCUUGCGAAAGCGCUUGGAGAACCAACCAGGGAGGCCGUGGAGCAGUUUCGAGACUACAGGGCACUGCACCGGGGAAAACAAUGGAAAGACUGUGCAUGGCAAGUAGCACUUAUCUCCCAACGUCAGCUGAGUGCGAACAAGGCUUUUCCGCAGUUAACAACACAAACAACCAGACGCACAAAAGGUUGCGCGAAGACAGCCUGUCUUCACUCCUGUUUGUGGACCUCAACGGACCUCCUCUGGACAAAUUCGACCCAGUUCCAUUUGUCAGAAGCUGGAUCAAAGCAGGACAUCGGCUCUAUUCUUCCUGGAAACCAGGACGGCAACCACAAGAAGUCGAGCCAAGGCAUCUUUGGUCUAUUCUAACUUAAGAUUCGGCCGACGAAAGUGUGCCGGCACUCCUCCUUCGCUGAAACGAGGCCUGAAGAACAGUGUUCCGUCUUUUGGUUUUGUUUUCCCGACUUUGUUUCCCCACUGUUUGGUUCUCUACCGGACCCUGUCUGCCGUGUACUUAUGCAUUAAAAAAGCAUUCACGCUC
Long non-coding RNA from Osmerus eperlanus (European smelt), 1199 nucleotides. RefSeq lists it as uncharacterized. NCBI's taxonomy places the organism in Eukaryota, Metazoa, Chordata, Actinopteri, Osmeriformes, Osmeridae. The transcript has 2 exons. The record is from RefSeq and is a predicted model, not a curated record.